AAUUAAGAGCACUAAAGAAUUUAAAGUGCCCACACAGUUUGUUUUCGAGAAUGAAGAAACCCAAAGCCGUGACCGAGAGGAAGCGGGAAGAUGCGCGGUCACGCUGAAAGCAAGCGCAAAGCGCGAGCGUAAAAACAGAGUAAUCGAGCAUUUUUACAAGAGAUUUUGUUUUAAUCAAGGCGCAAGCGGGAGUGAGUGAGGGAGCAUACAUCAGUAUGUGACCGAACGAGCGAGUGCAUGCAACGCAGAGUAAAACAAAAGAUUGCAGUAAAAAGGGGGUCGUAGCUCAGCUGGGAGAGCACCUGCCUUGCACGCAGGGGGUCAGGAGUUCGAUCCUCCUCGGCUCCACCAAAUUAUGAGGUUUAUUCAUUAGGCUUAUCCAGAUUAAAGUGCUUUUGUUUUGAGGGUAUUUUCAUCUGGAGUAACCAGAGGUUCAUUAAAAAUUAGGGUAAAUGAAGAGGUAACACAAGCGUACUUGUAUUGAAGCAGUAUGGACAUAUAGUUUGAGGUAAUUGAGAUUAUAU
RNAcentral lists this transfer RNA (524 nucleotides) under Legionella bozemanae. RNAcentral describes it as "Fluoribacter bozemanae partial 16S-23S ribosomal RNA intergenic spacer". The stretch from base 276 to 348 matches the Rfam family "tRNA". The record is from RNAcentral. Lineage: Bacteria; Pseudomonadati; Pseudomonadota; Gammaproteobacteria; Legionellales; Legionellaceae.